This 253-nucleotide ribosomal RNA is filed under the name uncultured bacterium. RNAcentral's name for it is "partial 16S ribosomal RNA". It matches the Rfam family "Bacterial small subunit ribosomal RNA", at positions 524 to 776 of the family's 1533-position model. The record is from RNAcentral.
UACGUAGGGUGCAAGCGUUGUCCGGAAUUAUUGGGCGUAAAGAGCUCGUAGGCGGUUUGUUGCGUCGGCUGUGAAAUCCCGAGGCUCAACCUCGGGUCUGCAGUCGAUACGAGCAAACUAGAGUGUUGCAGGGGAGACUGGAAUUCCUGGUGUAGCAGUGAAAUGCGCAGAUAUCAGGAGGAACACCGGUGGCGAAGGCGGCCUACUGGGCUGCACCUGACGCUGAGCCGCGAAAGCCAGGGGAGCGAACGGG